CCUACGGGCGGCAGCAGUGAGGAAUAUUGGUCAAUGGGCGCGAGCCUGAACCAGCCAAGUCGCGUGAGGGAAGACGGCCCUACGGGUUGUAAACCUCUUUUGCCGGGGAGCAAAGGGCGCCACGUGUGGCGCCACGGAGAGGACCCGGAGAAAAAGCAACGGCUAACCCCGUGCCAGCAGCCGCGGUAAUACGGAGGAUGCGGGCGUUAGCCGGAUUGCUUGGGUGUAAAGGGGGCGUCGGCGGAGCGUUAAGUCAGUGGUCAAAUUGAGGGGCUCACCCCCUUCCCGCCAUUGAAACUGGCGCUCUUGAGUGGAUGAGAAGUAUGCGGAAUGCGUGGUGUAGCGGU
Molecule: ribosomal RNA, 347 nt
Filed under: uncultured bacterium
Lineage: Bacteria
Description: partial 16S ribosomal RNA
Rfam family: Bacterial small subunit ribosomal RNA
Source: RNAcentral